RNAcentral lists this unclassified non-coding RNA (379 nucleotides) under Hevea brasiliensis (rubber tree). The record is from RNAcentral. Lineage: Eukaryota; Viridiplantae; Streptophyta; Magnoliopsida; Malpighiales; Euphorbiaceae.
UUAAAAAUUGUUGAUAAUUAAAAUAAAAUGAUGAGCAAAUGGACCAUAGAGAAUUCGGCCAGCCUAGGGAAAGAUUGGAUUUGAUGAAAAAAUUUUGGAAUUAAUUGAGUAUGUGAACUCAAUUGAGUGUAUAAAGAUAUAUGGUAUACUUUAAUUCAUGAAUUGUGCUAAGUAGAGAAUUAGGGUUCUUGACCUUUAGGGUUUUGGGGAGGAAAUUUGAGAAAUUGGUAAAUUGAUGUACUUUGACCUAAAUGAGACUCAAAAUGGUCAAUUGAGACAAAUUAGGAUGUGUUUGAAUGGUUAGAAGUAAAACCAAAUUCGGAUAGAUAGGAGUCCAAUUCUAGACAGCCUGACUUAGGUCCCUUUCAGGGACCAAAAC